GCGUCAUUAGCUCAGUUGGCAGAGCAGCUGACUCUUAAUCAGCGGGUCCGGGGUUCGAGUCCCUGAUGACGCA
RNAcentral lists this transfer RNA (73 nucleotides) under Nocardiopsis sp. CNR-923. It matches the Rfam family "tRNA". From Rfam's summary of the family: Transfer RNA (tRNA) molecules are approximately 80 nucleotides in length. Their secondary structure includes four short double-helical elements and three loops (D, anti-codon, and T loops). RNAcentral also lists the same sequence under 6 other names. Lineage: Bacteria; Bacillati; Actinomycetota; Actinomycetes; Streptosporangiales; Nocardiopsidaceae. The record is from Rfam by way of RNAcentral.